This 101-nucleotide ribosomal RNA is filed under the name Sinocyclocheilus rhinocerous. The record is from RNAcentral. Lineage: Eukaryota; Metazoa; Chordata; Actinopteri; Cypriniformes; Cyprinidae.
ACUGGCAGCCAUAUCACCCUGUAGCCCAAGACUGGUUACCCACUGAGCCUGGUCAGUACCUGGAUGGGAGACCUCCUGGGAAAACUAGGCUGCUGCUGGAA